CUCUCAGGGUGCAGCUAUAUGAUCUGGAGAUGAGAAGUUGCCUUCCCCACCACCCAAGUAUUUCUUAAGAAUCCCAGGGUCUAGCACAUUGUUUUUGAAGCUCGUUUCCCAAGGUUUACGUUAGUCAGGUCUCCUGAGAGAUGUUACACAUGUUUCCACAAUACAUAAACAUUUGCACUUUUAAUACAAUGAACUGUUAGGAAAUGUUCAGACGACACUCUGAGAUCCUCCAGUGCUGUGGAUGAUUUUAUAAUAAGAGGACAGUGAAGUGAGAAGCAGAGUAGGGGUUGGCAGCACCAGUCAGUGUUGCUAAUGCAAUUGGUAUUGAGCGAGUUGCCAGCCUCAGAGUCAGUAUUAGGGGCAGCCAGCAUCCUUUCCUGAGACAGUGCCUGUAGUCUAAUACCAGUCUUUUUUAGGACUGCCAUGGUAUUCACUCCAGGUCAAAAAGUCCCCUUACACUGGGGUGAGGUGUGACCAUAGCCUCUUCAAGCUUGCACCUGUUGGGGGAGGAACAAUGCUCCUUCCUACCACUCUGAUGGUUUAGAAUAGGACCUGGCAAUCUUGCCAGGAUCACCUUGAAGAAAGGAGCAACAGUUCACUAGAGCACUCUAGGACCCAGAGUGUUCAAAAUGGAGAAGAGGAUUAGCUUGCUUGCCAGGUAUGAGACAAACAUCAAUGAUCUAGAAGAAAAAAUUGAGGUGGGUGUCACUAGCCUUCUGUGUCCUCUUUGAAAGAUUUUCAAUUAUAUGUCCAUUACCCAAGGAAAAAAAAAAAUCUUGUGGCAAUUUUUAAGCAGCAUGGCUAUUUCACAAUAAGGCCAGUUUUUAAAGCUGGGAUAAAGUUUUAACCGAGUCCUACUAUAAGGGAAAAGUUUCUUCUGGAGCAAAGAAAUUUUAAAAAAAAAAGUCUAAAUGCUAGUUGGCGCACACAUUCUACACUACCAAGCCUAACAUAUCUCAUGUGCUGUAAUGCUGGGGGUUGAAUGAAGCUUGUGAAACAGCCACCCUUCAUUCAGGAUAAAUAUAAGAAAUUAAGAUCCUUUAUGGCAGGGGUGGAGAACCUUUUUUCUAUCAGGGGUCAUUGGCCCACAGAAAAAAAAAAAUCAAAUCACAGGCUACACAUACAUAAAAAGCAACUUAAUUUAGGGUUGUUUUUUUUUUGUUUUGUUUUUUUUGAGAGAGAGAGGGAAAUAUAGAACAUUCCAUAGGGCAGGGGUUAGGAACCUACAGGCCAGAUGAAAUUUAGCAAUGGGCUAGAUAUAGCCCAUGGGCCAUAUAUUACCCACCCCUGCUUUAUGGAAUAAAAUAGCUAAAACAAUAGGAGCCACUGCCUGAAACACAUGCCACAUGCAAGGCUAGUCAGGCAUCUAAGCUACGUGGGUGGAAGUUUCACUGGGGAUUGAAUGCAAACUAAGUGCUGGGUAUUGCUGGAUGGAAUUGUGGGGAUGCGUGUAAAAAGCAGCUGAGAAAAACCACAGAAGGCAGCAAGGAAGCACCAGGGUCACAGGAGCAUAUCUAAUAUGACUGCAUAUUGUGAAAAAGCUAAGAGCUUUUGUGUAGUCUCCUAGCUGGAAAGUGUCUUUGAACAGCGAGCAAAAAAAAGUCUCCUGUUUGUUUACAAAGAACAUCCAAAGUCCUCCUCUCAUGAAAAGAGAGCUGCAUCAAAAAAAAUACCUGACUCCAUCUCAGUUUCUCCUGCUAAUGGAAACAGCCCUGAAGAUCCCUAAAGAUGGCUAACUACGCAGUAUUACUAUCCCUUUUGAUCUAUAUCCAGAGAUUUUGGGGAAGUACUUCAAGGUGUAGACAUUGCUGAGGUUCUGCCCUGCUGCCACAGGCAUCUUAAAUAGAUCUCAACUUCUUAGAGGGAAGAGAGUAAGAAACAAAAGUUACUGAGCCAAAACCUCAGAGACUAAGUCACUGAAUACUCUGCUCAAGGAGGAUUUUAAUAAUCCUUAACAAACAGUGACAAAUACAACUCAACAGGCAUGAAAGUAGUUCCUCAUUUUACAUAGAAGACAGCUUUCUGAUCCAGAAGUAGGGACUCCAGAUCAUCUGUUCUUUAUCUUUUUUUUUAUAAUCAUAAUGAGCAUAAAGGAUCUGAUUACGAAAAGGAGGAAGAUUGGAGGUUGUGACCAUGAGCUACUUGAAUUCAGCAUAUUAAGAAACUGGAGGAAGUGUUAGUUUUUCUGAAAAAAUAAAAUGGAAGAAGUCAGCAAGUUGAGUGCUUCUCUGUGAAACUACAAAACCUGAUGCUGAAAGAAAAUCCUCUGAGAAACAUGAACAGGAAGCAAUAGUUACAAUUGUAUCUUUAAUUUUCAGCAAAGAGACAGACUGCAAAAUGAGUUAAUGAUAGUCAGGGUGGAGGUUUAAAAAGAAGUACUAAGGAGAAUGUGUGGCCUUUAAUAAAUCAGAGGAUGAAAUGAAUGACUUAAAAUAGCUGAUAAACUCUUGUGAAUCUGUUUUCCAGAACAAGUAGGACAGUGAACAAUAUAUAAAGAAAGGAAAUUCCAAAUUAUAAUCCAAUCUAAUUUUAUCAAUAGCUUUUAAACAUCUUAGGACUGGAGCACAGCAAUUUAGCAGACUGGGACAUUUACUUACCCAACUAGUCCAGGUGACACAUUCUAGAGCAACAGCUAUCAAAGUUACUGUAGCAAGUGUUUUCAAGACGACGAAGAAGGGUGUUACUGAAAUAUUUUUUAAAAAAUCAAUUUCAGAUUUUUAAAAGGAAGGCAAGUGGCAGGUCACUCCACCAUGUAAAAUAACUUCCAUCCCAGUUAAAAUAAUUGAAAAAUAGGGGUGGGGGAAUCGUAACUAAACAUAGAAUCAUAGAGACACAGUAUUAGAAGGGACCACAAGGGUCAUUUAGUCUAACCCCCCGCCAAAGAUGCAGGAUUUGUCGUGUCUAAAUCAUCCAAGACAGAUGGCUAUCCAGAAUACAAUAUAUAUUAGAACCCAGGGCAGAAAAUAUUCAACAAGGGAAAAAAGCAAGGUGAUAAUUCAGGGAAAAUACAAAGGAGAAAUCUAGGUCACUCCCAAUUUCCUACGAAUGAAAUAAACAGGAAGUUAAAUUCAGAAAUCUUGAUUCUCCACUGCUUUGCACCUUGCAUAAUCUAUACAUCUGUGUGAAGUAAAAUAUGAAGAGACCAAAAUUGCUUUUCCUACAAUCGGUCUGGCCUGGCCCUUGCAAUUGUAUCUUCCAAAGGCCAACUUUGCUGCUAUCACCUAUACUAGUCAUCUCAGAACUGCCAGAAGCACUUGAGCUGGAGUCCACAAUGGAUAGGGAAGGGGGCUGCCGGAAGGGUAUUCCCUUGGAGAGGCAUGCACUUCUGGAAUACGCUCCUCUCUGCCAAACAAUCUGAACUGGUUAACACUUAGGAUAGAUUACAAAUCCCAUCUAUUUUCUCAAGCCAUUAGGCAGAGAAAGAUGAAGUUUAGAACUGUGGGAAGUGAAUCUUUGAUCUUUAGCUCUCGUUAUUCAUCUUGGCUACAUAAUGGGAGGAAGCUAAAGGAUCUGUGAAUGUAUUUUUUUUGAAUAUGGUUUUAAUGUCAAAAGGUUCCUAGGAGGUGUUUAUGGACAAAAUUAAAGUACAUAAGCAGGUUGGCAUUCUGUUUACUAACUCAAUUCAGGUAAAAUCUUAUUGCCAAAAUUCCUUUUUCCACUGUCAGCCCCAUGAUCCUGAAAAUGCUGAACAAGUGUUUGGAUUAGUUGUAUUUAAGACAUCUUUUUUUUUUUUUUUUUUUUUUAAAAAAGAGGGAGGUAUUUUCUCCCACACCCUACAUCCAAGACUUCUUACCUAGAUUAUAGAAAUAAAUCAAAUACAACAGACAAUGAACACGUUUAAAUAAAAUCUUUAUUUGCUUAUUUACAACGAAGGCAAUGAAUCAGCAUAUUGAAAGUGUGAUUUGCUCUCUUUUCUAACAAUGUCAAAUACAUUAAGUACAUACUCCACUUCGGCUAUAAAAUAUGCAGCCUAGUGAAUAAGGCAAAAUAUUUACAUAACACUAGUACUGCAAAAAGCACUUUUAAGAUGAAUUCACUGCAAGAGAAAGAAUUAAAAAU
Long non-coding RNA from Dermochelys coriacea (leatherback sea turtle), 4059 nucleotides. RefSeq lists it as uncharacterized. Lineage: Eukaryota; Metazoa; Chordata; Testudines; Dermochelyidae. The transcript has 2 exons. The record is from RefSeq and is a predicted model, not a curated record.